Molecule: transfer RNA, 66 nt
Filed under: Nanostrea pinnicola
Lineage: Eukaryota; Metazoa; Mollusca; Bivalvia; Ostreida; Ostreidae
Description: tRNA-Glu
Source: RNAcentral
UCCAGGCUGGUGUAUUUAAAGCACAUAAAAUUUUCGUUUUUACGGAGGGUUAUAUCCCGCCUGGAU